UACGGAAGGGGCGAGCGUUGUUCGGAAUCACUGGGCGUAAAGCGCGCGUAGGCGGCCUUGCAAGUGCGGCGUGAAAGUCCUGGGCUCAACCUGGGGACGGCGCUGCGGACUGCAUGGCUAGAGUCCGGAAGAGGGUGGUGGAAUUCCGAGUGUAGAGGUGAAAUUCGUAGAUAUUCGGAGGAACACCGGUGGCGAAGGCGGCCACCUGGUCCGGCACUGACGCUCAAGCGCGAAAGCGUGGGGAGCAAACAGG
RNAcentral lists this ribosomal RNA (253 nucleotides) under uncultured bacterium. RNAcentral describes it as "partial 16S ribosomal RNA". It matches the Rfam family "Bacterial small subunit ribosomal RNA", at positions 524 to 776 of the family's 1533-position model. The record is from RNAcentral.